ACAGAGGUCCCAAGCGUUGUUCGGAUUCACUGGGCGUAAAGGGUGCGUAGGCGGUUGAUUAAGUCUGAUGUGAAAUCUCCGGGCCCAACCCGGAAACUGCAUCGGAUACUAGUCGGCUAGAGGAUUGGAGGGGGGAGUGGAAUUCUCGGUGUAGCAGUGAAAUGCGUAGAUAUCGAGAGGAACAUCAGUGGCGAAGGCGACUCCCUGGACAAUUCCUGACGCUGAGGCACGAAAGCUAGGGGAGCAAACAGG
This 252-nucleotide ribosomal RNA is filed under the name uncultured bacterium. Its description in RNAcentral is "partial 16S ribosomal RNA". It matches the Rfam family "Bacterial small subunit ribosomal RNA", at positions 525 to 776 of the family's 1533-position model. The record is from RNAcentral.